Molecule: ribosomal RNA, 460 nt
Filed under: uncultured bacterium
Lineage: Bacteria
Description: partial 16S ribosomal RNA
Rfam family: Bacterial small subunit ribosomal RNA
Source: RNAcentral
CCUACGGGUGGCAGCAGUGAGGAAUAUUGGUCAAUGGACGAGAGUCUGAACCAGCCAAGUAGCGUGAAGGAUGACUGCCCUAUGGGUUGUAAACUUCUUUUAUAUGGGAAUAAAAUGUUCCACGUGUGGGAUUUUGUAUGUACCAUAUGAAUAAGGAUCGGCUAACUACGUGCCAGCAGCCGCGGUAAUACGGAGGCUCCGAGCGUUAUCCGGAUUUAUUGGGUUUAAAGGGAGCGUAGGUGGAUUGUUAAGUCAGUUGUGAAAGUUUGCGGCUCAACCGUAAAAUUGCAGUUGAAACUGGCAGUCUUGAGUACAGUAGAGGUGGGCGGAAUUCGUGGUGUAGCGGUGAAAUGCUUAGAGAUCACGAAGAACUCCGAUUGCGAAGGCAGUUCACUGGACUGCAACUGACACUGAGGCUCGAAAGUGUGGGUAUCAAACAGGAUUAGAUACCCGUGUAGUC